RNAcentral lists this ribosomal RNA (610 nucleotides) under Lobaria pulmonaria (tree lungwort). Its description in RNAcentral is "SSU rRNA". It matches the Rfam family "Bacterial small subunit ribosomal RNA", at positions 477 to 1099 of the family's 1533-position model. The record is from RNAcentral. Lineage: Eukaryota; Fungi; Ascomycota; Lecanoromycetes; Peltigerales; Lobariaceae.
AUCUAUCUAUAGGUCUUGACCAAAUUACGUGCCAGCAGUCGCGGUAAUACGUAGAAGACAAGUGUUAUUCAUCUUUAUUAGGUUUAAAGAGUACCAAGACGGUUAAUAAAGCCCAAAAUACAUGAGCACAGGGGACACAUUAACUAGAGUUAUAUGAAAGGAAGCAUUAAGGUACUGUUGAGUGUAGAGAUAAAAUUCAGUCAUACCAGAUGAAAGGCACAGAUUUAUGCGAAGGCAUCUUCUUAUGUAAUAACUGACGUUGUAGGACGAAGGCUUUUGAAGUGAAGAGGAUUAGAUACCCUUGUAAUUUAAGCAGAAAAUGAUGAAUGUYAUAGGUUUWAUAUAUACAGCCCAAAAAAAAAAGGGUCGAUGUUUUAUUGGGUCUAUAAAUGAAAGUGUAAGCAUUCCACCUCMAGAGUAAUUUGGCAACAUYGGAACUGAAAUCAUUAGACCGUUUCUGAAACCAGUAGUGAAGUAUGUUGUUUAAUUAGAUGAUACACAAAAAACCUUACCACAAUUUGAAUAUAUAUCAUUAAUGAUAUUUACNAGCGUUGCACGGCUGUCUUCAGUUAAUGUCGUGAGAUUUUGGUUAGUUCCAUAAAAUUAACGU